AUACUUUGGUACAUGACUGUGAUGACUGGGUGUUCAUACUGUGUGCAAGAAACUCAUCUCCUUCAAACUUUGUUACAAUAUGGGUGCAUUGUACUGUCUGAUU
Cavia porcellus (domestic guinea pig) is the source of this 103-nucleotide small nucleolar RNA. It matches the Rfam family "Small nucleolar RNA U13". NCBI's taxonomy places the organism in Eukaryota, Metazoa, Chordata, Mammalia, Rodentia, Caviidae. The record is from Rfam.